UACAGAGGUCUCAAGCGUUGUUCGGAUUCAUUGGGCGUAAAGGGUGCGUAGGUGGCGGGGUAAGUCAGGUGUGAAAUCUCGGGGCUCAACCCCGAAACUGCACUUGAUACUGCCUUGCUCGAGUACUGGAGAGGAGAUUGGAAUUUACGGUGUAGCAGUGAAAUGCGUAGAUAUCGUAAGGAAGACCAGUGGCGAAGGCGGUUCUCUGGCAAUGUUCUGACGCUGAGGAGCGAAAGUGUGGGGAGCGAACAGG
This 253-nucleotide ribosomal RNA is filed under the name uncultured bacterium. RNAcentral's name for it is "partial 16S ribosomal RNA". It matches the Rfam family "Bacterial small subunit ribosomal RNA", at positions 524 to 776 of the family's 1533-position model. The record is from RNAcentral.